CGGGAUGUAGCGCAGCUUGGUAGCGCAUCCGCUUUGGGAGCGGAGGGUCGCAGGUUCGAAUCCUGUCAUCCCGA
This 74-nucleotide transfer RNA is filed under the name Serinibacter arcticus. It matches the Rfam family "tRNA". From Rfam's summary of the family: Transfer RNA (tRNA) molecules are approximately 80 nucleotides in length. Their secondary structure includes four short double-helical elements and three loops (D, anti-codon, and T loops). RNAcentral also lists the same sequence under 4 other names. Lineage: Bacteria; Bacillati; Actinomycetota; Actinomycetes; Micrococcales; Beutenbergiaceae. The record is from Rfam by way of RNAcentral.